Poecilia latipinna (sailfin molly) is the source of this 542-nucleotide long non-coding RNA. RefSeq lists it as uncharacterized. The record is from RefSeq and is a predicted model, not a curated record. The transcript has 3 exons. Lineage: Eukaryota; Metazoa; Chordata; Actinopteri; Cyprinodontiformes; Poeciliidae.
GACAAUCUACAUAAAAAUAGCAGUUAUGUGUAGCCACGACUUUCCUCGUUUGUUGUGUUUUGAAAGUGAAAGACAAAAUAAAAAUGCAUACACAGAAAGAAAAUGAAGCAAGAUACGCCUCUCAUAGUUUACCACUAAUUUGAUUGACCUUGUCCUUCAGCUGUGUACUUCACCUCUUCGGACUCCACACAAAAGAGGUGGUACAAAGCUCCGAGGGCAAAGUGCAAUAGAUUUUUUUUUUCUGUUUUGCUCUCAAGCUGCCAAAUCCUCCUUACAUCACUGCUGAUGUAAGGGCUGACUUCAUCCACUUCCUGUCAACGCUUCAUGGAGGGAAGCAAGAGAAAAGCCCCUGAUCUUAAGGUAGCUGUGCUCACACCUGCCUGGUGCCGUGAUUUGGAGCUGACGGCGCUCCUCUUAGUGGCUCUGUUGAGACUGAAGAGGUGAGCGGAUGCUGGAUGAAGGGUCCAGAGGUAAUUACCCUGUCUACUAUCUCGUUCACCACACACACACACACAGACACGCACGCACACACUGCUGAUGGC